Molecule: transfer RNA, 64 nt
Filed under: Moniezia expansa (sheep tapeworm)
Lineage: Eukaryota; Metazoa; Platyhelminthes; Cestoda; Cyclophyllidea; Anoplocephalidae
Description: tRNA-Thr
Rfam family: tRNA
About the family: Transfer RNA (tRNA) molecules are approximately 80 nucleotides in length. Their secondary structure includes four short double-helical elements and three loops (D, anti-codon, and T loops).
Source: RNAcentral
GACUAUGUAGUUUACUUAAAAUGUAGGUUUUGUAAGCCUAAGAUAAUAUUUAUGUUUUUAGUCA